RNAcentral lists this ribosomal RNA (627 nucleotides) under uncultured bacterium. Its description in RNAcentral is "bacterial SSU rRNA". It matches the Rfam family "Bacterial small subunit ribosomal RNA", at positions 862 to 1499 of the family's 1533-position model. The record is from RNAcentral.
AAGCAUCCCACCUGGGGAGUACGCCGGCAACGGUGAAACUCAAAGGAAUUGACGGGGGCCGCACAAGCGGANGAACAUGUGGUUUAAUUCGAUGAUACGCGAGGAACCUUACCCGGGCUUGAAUUGCAGAUGAAGGAUCCAGAGAUGGUGNCGNCCUUCGGGGCAUCUGUGAAGGUGCUGCAUGGUUGUCGUCAGCUCGUGCCGUGAGGUGUCGGCUCAAGUGCCAUAACGAGCGCAACCCCUCUCUUCAGUUGCCAUCAGGUAAAGCUGGGCACUCUGGAGACACUGCCACCGCAAGGUGUGAGGAAGGUGGGGAUGACGUCAAAUCAGCACGGNCCUUACGUCCGGGGCUACACACGUGUUACAAUGGGGGGUACAGCAAGCCGGCUGCCCGCAAGGUCAGUCCAAUCAAGAAAGCCCUCCUCAGUUCGGACUGGGGUCUGCAACCCGACCCCACGAAGCUGGAUUCGCUAGUAAUCGCGCAUCAGCCAUGGCGCGGUGAAUACGUUCCCGGGCCUUGUACACACCGCCCGUCAAGCCAUGAAAGCCGGGGGUGCCUGAAGUCCGUGACCGCAAGGAUCGGCCUAGGGCAAAACUGGUAAUUGGGGCUAAGUCGUAACAAGGUAG